UGUUGUGUGUGAGAUGUCGGUAUAGCAGGUAUGCAGGAAUGUAUUGCAGGUGAACAUUUUUUUAAUCAUUCAUUUAAUCGUUAAUUUUGUAUCUCUUGUUUGUGCUUUUCACAGUGACUGUUCAGAUUUGUUUGCUGUAGUUAGCCUGCCCGGCCUUGCAGGGCCUGUAGAUGAAAAGAUCUGAGGGUGUGCCUUGUGAGAGUGGACUAACUCCUUUUAUUCUUGUUUAUUUAUAGGCCUCCCUCAGGUCCCCCUCAUCCCACCUCCCUUGCAAUAGACCACAGCAGCAGUUAAAUUAAGGCCCAAGAGGCAGACAUCCUGCAGCAGACUGAAAAGGCAGAAAACCAGUUGCAUGAAUGAAAUGAGAACAUGAAGACUGUUCCCUAAAAAAAAUUGAAAGUUCUCAGCUGACCGUGUGUCAGGCAAUGACAGAAAUGUCAAGAUGAGGGUGAGGCAGAGGACAAGGACGCAGGAAAGGUGGUCCUGCCUGCAUCUACAGUCUGAUCAUCAGUCUUCAGCCCUAUCUGUGCUGCCAGUGUGGACAUUGAUGCAAAGACUUCAGGCUCAGAAGAUGACAGACCGUCUAUCCAGCCAUCACACCAAGAGCUGAAGGGGUGAAAGCAGAGGCCACUUGUGGACCAGCCUAUAAAGACAUCACAUUGGGAAGAAGUUGGAGCAUCUGCAGAGAACCCACCCAGGUCCAGAGAGAACAUGAACUCCACACAGACAGAACCAGCAGGUUGGUGCUGUUAGCUGGUUGGUGCUGUUAGCUGACUGUGCUAAUCGCUGCAUCUGUGUCCAUUUUUUUUCUUAUAGGACGAAGAAACAGUGAGAGGAACCCCAGGAUGAUCAAAAAUGGAAGAAUUAUGCCAAGAUGAGACGACAAAAAGCCCCAAACAGAAAAAGAAGAGUCAGACCAAGGAAAAGAAAGAAGAACUGCUUUGACUAAUUCCAAAGCACAAACAGCUGGUGGAGAGGCUCUGCUACAUUCCAGACGUCCCUCCUACUACCAAUGCUUUCCAGUUCUUCCUGGGGGAUCCCGAGGCAUUCACAGGCCAGACAAGAUAUAUAAUGCCUCCUGUUUUGAGUCUACUCCGUGGUCUCCUCCAAGACGGACGUGCUUGGAAAACUUCCAAAGGAAGUCUCCCAGAAGGCACCCAAAUCAGAAGUCCAAAUCACCUCAAAUGGCUCCUUUCGACGAAAAGGAGAAGUGACUCUACUCCAAGCUUCCUCUGGAUGUCCAAGCUUUUCACCCUGUCUCUAAGACUGAGCCCCACAGAGUAAACUUGUUUCGACCGCUCAUGCUUGCAGUCUCAUUCUUUCGGUCACUACCCAGAGGUCAUGACCAGUAGUGAGUGUUGGAAUGUAGAUGGACUGGUAAAUUGCUUGGUGAAGCAACUCCCCCACAAACCUGCAAGGAGCAUUCCACUGGUUUCCAGCAGAGAACCAUGGCCUCGGACUGGGAGGUGCUGACUCGCUACCCAGUCGCUUUACACUCUACUGCAAACUGCUCCAGUGCAUGCUAAUAGUCAUGGUCUGAUGAAGCCAACAGUACCACGUCAUCUGCAAAAAGCAGAAAUGUGAUUAUGAGGUCCCCAAAUCAGACACUCUCCUCCAGGCCUGGAGUGGCUAAUCGGGAGGACCGGGACAAUUCCCGGUGGGCUGGUCUGAUGUUUGGGCCAUGAGGGCAGGUGUUCACUCAUGGCACUGGGUUGAUCAUUAUGUCCCAGGGCCUCCUCUGCCUCCACUGGCAACUCUUCUCUUUUUUUUUCUGCUUUUUCUUUUUUUUGCAGACGCACCCCGACGUAACACGUUCGUGCACACGGUCAGUGGUGUUUGAAAGAUGGAAAUAGAAAGAGCAAGGGUGGCACAGAGACGGCAAGAAUUAAAAAGAGGAAAGCUCUGGAAACAGACACAGCCAGAUGUGCUGACAUUAGAAACUUUGUCACUAAAACAAGCUCGUGGUUUGAAACGAGGACGAUGAAACGGUUACAGCAAGAUGUAGAACUUUGCAAACCGUUAAUUAUCAAGUCAGUGAAUUGUGUGGCAUUGUGGCAUCUAACAUAACGUUAUUUAAUUUAAAGAAUAGUAUGAUGCUGGGAAACUUUGUCUUAUGAACACUUAUUUGCUUGAUAUUUGAUAUUGUGAUGUAUUGUAAAGAAUAGUGUUGGAGAUUUGCCCUUUAACUCAUGUUCUCAUAUUUGUGAAAUGUAAGUUGUCAUGGAAGUGUUUCCUUGCAGAGGAAAAAGAUUAUGGUGUUGUUAGAAAGUGCAACACUUUUUAUUUUAUUUUUAAAAUUUAAUAUUUAAUAUAUUGACUUUAAUUUCAUUUUUAAGGUUUGGAUAGCUGUGAACAAUUAUUUGAACAGAUUAUAGAUUCUGAUAUUGUUGUAAAGAAUAAUGUUGGAGAUG
This is a long non-coding RNA of Amphiprion ocellaris (clown anemonefish), 2411 nucleotides long. RefSeq lists it as uncharacterized. The transcript is spliced from 4 exons. The record is from RefSeq and is a predicted model, not a curated record. Lineage: Eukaryota; Metazoa; Chordata; Actinopteri; Pomacentridae.